UACGGGGGGGGCAAGCGUUGUUCGGAAUUACUGGGCGUAAAGGGCUCGUAGGCGGCCAACUAAGUCAGACGUGAAAUCCCUCGGCUUAACCGGGGAACUGCGUCUGAUACUGGAUGGCUGGAGAUUGGGAGAGGGAUGCGGAAUUCCAGGUGUAGCGGUGAAAUGCGUAGAUAUCUGGAGGAACACCGGCGGCGAAGGCGGCAUCCUGGACCAACACUGACGCUGAGGAACGAAAGCCAGGGGAGCAAACGGG
RNAcentral lists this ribosomal RNA (253 nucleotides) under uncultured bacterium. RNAcentral describes it as "partial 16S ribosomal RNA". It matches the Rfam family "Bacterial small subunit ribosomal RNA", at positions 524 to 776 of the family's 1533-position model. The record is from RNAcentral.